RNAcentral lists this ribosomal RNA (492 nucleotides) under uncultured bacterium. RNAcentral's name for it is "partial 16S ribosomal RNA". It matches the Rfam family "Bacterial small subunit ribosomal RNA", at positions 29 to 507 of the family's 1533-position model. The record is from RNAcentral.
AGUGAACGCUGGCGGUAGGCCUAACACAUGCAAGUCGAACGGCAGCACAGUAAGAUCUUGCUCUUACGGGUGGCGAGUGGCGGACGGGUGAGGAAUACAUCGGAAUCUACUUUUUCGUGGGGGAUUACGUAGGGAAACUUACGCUAAUACCUCAUACGACCUACGGGAUAAAGCAGGGGAUCUUCGGACCUUGCGCGAUUGUAUGAGCCGAUGUCGGAUUAGCUAGUUGGCUGGGUAAAGGCCCACCAAGGCGACGAUCCGUAGCUGGUCUGAGAGGGUGAUCGGCCACACUGGAACUGAGACACGGUCCAGACUCCUACGGGAGGCAGCAGUGGGGAAUAUUGCGCAAUGGGCGAAAGCCUGAUCCAGCCAUGCCGCGUGGGUGAAGAAGGCCUUCGGGUUGUAAAGCCCUGUUGUUGGGAAAGAAAAACUGCAGGUGAAUAUCCCGCCGUUCUGACGGUACCCAAAGAAUAAGCACCGGCUAACUUCGUG